RNAcentral lists this ribosomal RNA (682 nucleotides) under Vibrio parahaemolyticus. RNAcentral describes it as "partial 23S ribosomal RNA". It matches the Rfam family "Bacterial large subunit ribosomal RNA", at positions 2259 to 2925 of the family's 2925-position model. Lineage: Bacteria; Pseudomonadati; Pseudomonadota; Gammaproteobacteria; Vibrionales; Vibrionaceae. The record is from RNAcentral.
UGGUGGGUAGUUUGACUGGGGCGGUCUCCUCCCAAAGAGUAACGGAGGAGCACGAAGGUGGGCUAAUCACGGUUGGACAUCGUGAGGUUAGUGCAAUGGCAUAAGCCCGCUUGACUGCGAGAAUGACAAUUCGAGCAGGUGCGAAAGCAGGUCAUAGUGAUCCGGUGGUUCUGAAUGGAAGGGCCAUCGCUCAACGGAUAAAAGGUACUCCGGGGAUAACAGGCUGAUACCGCCCAAGAGUUCAUAUCGACGGCGGUGUUUGGCACCUCGAUGUCGGCUCAUCACAUCCUGGGGCUGAAGUCGGUCCCAAGGGUAUGGCUGUUCGCCAUUUAAAGUGGUACGCGAGCUGGGUUUAGAACGUCGUGAGACAGUUCGGUCCCUAUCUGCCGUGGGCGUUGGAAGAUUGAAGGGGGCUGCUCCUAGUACGAGAGGACCGGAGUGGACGAACCUCUGGUGUUCGGGUUGUGUCGCCAGACGCAUUGCCCGGUAGCUAAGUUCGGAAUCGAUAACCGCUGAAAGCAUCUAAGCGGGAAGCGAGCCCUGAGAUGAGUCUUCCCUGAUACUUUAAGUAUCCUAAAGGGUUGUCGGAGACUACGACGUUGAUAGGUCAGGUGUGUAAGUGCUGUGAGGCAUUGAGCUAACUGAUACUAAUUGCCCGUGAGGCUUAACCAUACAACACCCA